UGCCCCGUAGUGUAACGGUAGCACACCGGACUCUGACUCCGCUUGUUAAGGUUCAAAUCCUUACGGGGCAUCCA
Molecule: transfer RNA, 74 nt
Filed under: Candidatus Babelota bacterium
Lineage: Bacteria
Description: tRNA-Gln
Rfam family: tRNA
About the family: Transfer RNA (tRNA) molecules are approximately 80 nucleotides in length. Their secondary structure includes four short double-helical elements and three loops (D, anti-codon, and T loops).
Source: RNAcentral